GAAAUGCGAUAAGUAAUGCGAAUUGCAGAAUCCGUGAGUCAUCGAAUCUUUGAACGCACAUUGCGCCCUUUGGUAUUCCGAAGGGCAUGCCUGUUCGAGCGUCAUUAUCACCACUCAAGCCCGGCUUGUUGUUGGCGUCAGCGCGGCCUUAACGGUUGUGCUCCGCCUAAAGAUAAUGACGGCGUCUGUGAGGACUCCUGUACAUUGAGCUUUCGGGCACGUACGUGGUUAGAAGUCCAGGCGCCGGUCACCGUCCCUCGGGACACUUUUUACCCAAGGUUGACCUCGGAUCAGGUAGGGAUACCCGCUGAACUUAA
Molecule: unclassified non-coding RNA, 317 nt
Filed under: uncultured Chaetothyriales
Lineage: Eukaryota; Fungi; Ascomycota; Eurotiomycetes; Chaetothyriales
Description: sequence contains ITS1
Rfam family: 5.8S ribosomal RNA (bases 1-104)
Source: RNAcentral